UACGUAGGUGGCGAGCGUUGUCCGGAUUUACUGGGCGUAAAGGGAGCGUAGGCGGAUUUUUAAGUGAGAUGUGAAAUACUCGGGCUCAACUUGAGUGCUGCAUUUCAAACUGGAAGUCUAGAGUGCAGGAGAGGAGAAUGGAAUUCCUAGUGUAGCGGUGAAAUGCGUAGAGAUUAGGAAGAACACUAGUGGCGAAGGCGAUUCUCUGGACUGUAACUGUCGCUGAGGCUCGAAAGCGUGGGGAGCAAACAGG
This 253-nucleotide ribosomal RNA is filed under the name uncultured bacterium. Its description in RNAcentral is "partial 16S ribosomal RNA". It matches the Rfam family "Bacterial small subunit ribosomal RNA", at positions 524 to 776 of the family's 1533-position model. The record is from RNAcentral.